Molecule: ribosomal RNA, 1081 nt
Filed under: Mycobacterium tuberculosis
Lineage: Bacteria; Bacillati; Actinomycetota; Actinomycetes; Mycobacteriales; Mycobacteriaceae
Description: bacterial SSU rRNA
Rfam family: Bacterial small subunit ribosomal RNA
Source: RNAcentral
AGAGGUGUGGGAUGAGCCCGCGGCCUAUCAGCUUGUUGGUGGGGUGACGGCCUACCAAGGCGACGACGGGUAGCCGGCCUGAGAGGGUGUCCGGCCACACUGGGACUGAGAUACGGCCCAGACUCCUACGGGAGGCAGCAGUGGGGAAUAUUGCACAAUGGGCGCAAGCCUGAUGCAGCGACGCCGCGUGGGGGAUGACGGCCUUCGGGUUGUAAACCUCUUUCACCAUCGACGAAGGUCCGGGUUCUCUCGGAUUGACGGUAGGUGGAGAAAAAGCACCGGCCAACUACGUGCCAGCAGCCGCGGUAAUACGUAGGGUGCGAGCGUUGUCCGGAAUUACUGGGCGUAAAGAGCUCGUAGGUGGUUUGUCGCGUUGUUCGUGAAAUCUCACGGCUUAACUGUGAGCGUGCGGGCGAUACGGGCAGACUAGAGUACUGCAGGGGAGACUGGAAUUCCUGGUGUAGCGGUGGAGUGCGCACAUAUCAGGAGGAACACCGGUGGCGAAGGCGGGUCUCUGGGCAGUAACUGACGCUGAGGAGCGAAAGCGUGGGGAGCGAACAGGAUUAGAUACCCUGGUAGUCCACGCCGUAAACGGUGGGUACUAGGUGUGGGUUUCCUUCCUUGGGAUCCGUGCCGUAGCUAACGCAUUAAGUACCCCGCCUGGGGAGUACGGCCGCAAGGCUAAAACUCAAAGGAAUUGACGGGGGCCCGCACAAGCGGCGGAGCAUGUGGAUUAAUUCGAUGCAACGCGAAGAACCUUACCUGGGUUUGACAUGCACAGGACGCGUCUAGAGAUAGGCGUUCCCUUGUGGCCUGUGUGCAGGUGGUGCAUGGCUGUCGUCAGCUCGUGUCGUGAGAUGUUGGGUUAAGUCCCGCAACGAGCGCAACCCUUGUCUCAUGUUGCCAGCACGUAAUGGUGGGGACUCGUGAGAGACUGCCGGGGUCAACUCGGAGGAAGGUGGGGAUGACGUCAAGUCAUCAUGCCCCUUAUGUCCAGGGCUUCACACAUGCUACAAUGGCCGGUACAAAGGGCUGCGAUGCCGCGAGGUUAAGCGAAUCCUUAAAAGCCGGUCUCAGUUCG